UACGGAGGAUGCGAGCGUUAUCCGGAUUUAUUGGGUUUAAAGGGUGCGUAGGCGGACUGUCAAGUCAGCGGUAAAAUUGAGAGGCUCAACCUCUUCCCGCCGUUGAAACUGGUGGUCUUGAGUGGAUGAGAAGUACGCGGAAUGCGUGGUGUAGCGGUGAAAUGCAUAGAUAUCACGCAGAACUCCGAUUGCGAAGGCAGCGUACCGGCAUCCAACUGACGCUGAGGUACGAAAGCGUGGGGAUCAAACAGG
Molecule: ribosomal RNA, 252 nt
Filed under: uncultured bacterium
Lineage: Bacteria
Description: partial 16S ribosomal RNA
Rfam family: Bacterial small subunit ribosomal RNA
Source: RNAcentral